Bombina bombina (fire-bellied toad) is the source of this 399-nucleotide long non-coding RNA. RefSeq lists it as uncharacterized. NCBI's taxonomy places the organism in Eukaryota, Metazoa, Chordata, Amphibia, Anura, Bombinatoridae. The transcript is spliced from 3 exons. The record is from RefSeq and is a predicted model, not a curated record.
CUGGGUUUCAGUUGGAGAAGCUGGUUGCACCGUAUUUGACAUCCUAUCACCCUGUCCUCUGUAUAAGAAAGAUACAAGAUUAAGAUAAUACCAACCAGAAUACCAAAGGGAAUAGACAGAGCCAAUAUCCAUACAUGCACGCUGCUGAACCAGGUCUAAAAUUAUAUCCUGCAGAAAAUACCAUUUUAUACAACUCUAGAAGAAUGUUUAGUCCCAGAAACCAAACAGCGUGGGAAAAAAAAGAAAGAAAAGAAAGACGUGACUGCAGAAAUUCUAUAUCUUAAGAUCAUCAGUCACCAACCCAGGUGUUUAUUUUCCAGGCUAGUGACCUCUAAAAGCAAACAGAAAAGGGGUACAAUACUGUAGAUGUGAAGGAAAAAUAAAAGAAGAGUGAACCAA